GACGAACGCUGGCGGCGUGCUUAACACAUGCAAGUCGAACGGAAAGGCCCUGCUUUUGUGGGGUGCUCGAGUGGCGAACGGGUGAGUAACACGUGAGUAACCUGCCCUUGACUUUGGGAUAACUUCAGGAAACUGGGGCUAAUACCGGAUAGGAGCUCCUGCUGCAUGGUGGGGGUUGGAAAGUUUCGGCGGUUGGGGAUGGACUCGCGGCUUAUCAGCUUGUUGGUGGGGUAGUGGCUUACCAAGGCUUUGACGGGUAGCCGGCCUGAGAGGGUGACCGGCCACAUGGGGACUGAGAUACGGCCCAGACUCCUACGGGAGGCAGCAGUGGGGAAUAUUGCACAAUGGGCGGAAGCCUGAGGCAGCAACGCCGCGUGCGGGAUGACGGCCUUCGGGUUGGAAACCGCUUUCGCCUGUGACGAAGCGUGAGUGACGGGAAUGGGGAAAGAAGCACCGGCGAACUACGU
RNAcentral lists this ribosomal RNA (467 nucleotides) under uncultured bacterium. RNAcentral's name for it is "partial 16S ribosomal RNA". It matches the Rfam family "Bacterial small subunit ribosomal RNA", at positions 28 to 506 of the family's 1533-position model. The record is from RNAcentral.